This 547-nucleotide ribosomal RNA is filed under the name uncultured bacterium. RNAcentral's name for it is "bacterial SSU rRNA". It matches the Rfam family "Bacterial small subunit ribosomal RNA", at positions 355 to 896 of the family's 1533-position model. The record is from RNAcentral.
UGGGGAAUAUUGCGCAAUGGGGGGAACCCUGACGCAGCCAUGCCGCGUGAAUGAAGAAGGCCUUAGGGUUGUAAAGUUCUUUCGGUAUUGAGGAAGGUUGAUGUGUUAAUAGCACAUCAAAUUGACGUUAAAUACAGAAGAAGCACCGGCUAACUCCGUGCCAGCAGCCGCGGUAAUACGGAGGGUGCGAGCGUUAAUCGGAAUAACUGGGCGUAAAGGGCACGCAGGCGGUUAUUUAAGUGAGGUGUGAAAGCCCUGGGCUUAACCUAGGAAUUGCAUUUCAGACCGGGUAACUAGAGUACUUUAGGGAGGGGUAGAAUUCCACGUGUAGCGGUGAAAUGCGUAGAGAUGUGGAGGAAUACCGAAGGCGAAGGCAGCCCCUUGGGAAUGUACUGACGCUCAUGUGCGAAAGCGUGGGGAGCAAACAGGAUUAGAUACCCUGGUAGUCCACGCUGUAAACGCUGUCGAUUUGGGGGUUGGGGUUUAACUCUGGCGCCCGUAGCUAACGUGAUAAAUCGACCGCCUGGGGAGUACGGCCGCAAGGUUA